RNAcentral lists this ribosomal RNA (253 nucleotides) under uncultured bacterium. RNAcentral describes it as "partial 16S ribosomal RNA". It matches the Rfam family "Bacterial small subunit ribosomal RNA", at positions 524 to 776 of the family's 1533-position model. The record is from RNAcentral.
GACGUAGGGUGCAAGCGUUGUCCGGAAUUAUUGGGCGUAAAGAGCUCGUAGGCGGUCUGUCGCGUCUGCUGUGAAAAACCUAGGGCUUAACUCUGGGCGUGCAGUGGGUACGGGCAGGCUAGAGUGCGGUAGGGGAGACUGGAAUCCUGGUGUAGCGGUGAAAUGCGCAGAUAUCAGGAAGAACACCCGUGGCGAAGGCGGUCUCUGGGACGGUACUGACGCUGAGACGCGAAAGCGUGGGGGAGCGAACAGG